Molecule: long non-coding RNA, 1320 nt
Organism: Acyrthosiphon pisum (pea aphid)
Lineage: Eukaryota; Metazoa; Arthropoda; Insecta; Hemiptera; Aphididae
Exons: 2
Source: RefSeq, a predicted model, not a curated record
AAAAACUAAUUAUUAUCGUCUUCGGAGGUGUGGCAAUGCAGCCGGCAGUUGCGGUUGAUGCCAAACGUCACUACGUCACCACCGGUCGGUAGCCCGCGCAAAAAGUUCACGUGAUCGCGAGCAUUUCUCUAGAAAAAAAUCUACGGUAAAUUAAAGUUCGGUAAAAAAAUGUAAAGUUUAAAAACGGCAAAAGUGGGUGACCACUUCUUUGAUGUACGAUAGGUGUCGAGUGUCCUCGUUAUACUUGUCUAUGCUCGUCAUUGAGCAAGUCACUAUUACGUAUACGUAAAAAUUUGAAUUCAUUAUUGCAAUAAUAAAUCAUUGCACACGAAAAACGAUUGUGAUCGUAGAUGGUCUGUCGACUGUCAGCCUAUAUUACUAUUUAUAUUUUUUUUAUACAUUUUUAUUCCUAUCAAAGUAAUUUAUUUUUCUAUUCGUAACACGGUAUCAAGAAUGGUCAAGUCUUUAACUAUGGGUGGGGGGGGGGGAUCAAGUCGUUUUCAAGUAAACUUCAUGACUGAUUAAAAUAUGUUUCCAGUUGUUUUAUCCGAUUACUCGAUACAAUAUUAAAUUGGCGGAUGGUAGAUCUAUAUUUUGGAAGAAAACUCAACCAGUAUCAAAUUUUGGAACACAUACAUAAUAAUAUGUCGGCAACAUCAACAUCAACGGUAAUGCGAAAAACAUAUCCAUCGACAGACUGAAACCUGUAUUCCUACCACAAGAAGACACAAUUCAACAUGACCACUCCUACGCAGUGAAGGCGAAACUUAAUAAAUCAGUUGUAAAGUGACGCCCGAGUGUUAUGGUCAUAUCACACAUUUCCUGUCAUAUUUAGCCAAUGGUAAAGUCAAACUACCUUUAGAAGGAGGUAACAAUAUAGAUGCGGUUUCAUAUUGUAUGACGAAAACAUUAUUUGAAGAUCCUGUAGCGUACCAUGACUCUACGGACUAAUAUUAUAUUAUAAUCCUUUAAUUGAUUCUACAGACCACUAACUGGACCACUCUAAAUUUACCUAUUAACUAAAAUAUAAUUCAUUUAAGUAACAUUUGACAUUCAAAUAUACUAAUUGAACCACUAAUGGUAAUAAUGGACUAUACGUUUAUAAAUACCUUGCACAAUGUAUAAACUAUUAUCUCAUUCAUAGGUAACAUUUUGGCAAACCAGUUGCCCUUCUAAUAAUAUUUCAUCUCUACGAAAACAACUACUCAAAAAUGACCUCACCCAAAGACACCUGCAAAAUCCACGUGCGAAAAAUUGAAUAUAGGUAGGCCAGGAACAAUGCAUAUUCAAAUGUACCAUAGCCGUUCUCAGCCACAUAGA